ACAAGAUGCACGUGAGUGUUGGCACCAUCAGAUCUGCUUCGGAUCCCUGGGCAUCGGAAGGAUCCAGAGUACUGGCAGCAGGAACUUACGUCUGCCAGCCCUGUGUCUUGGAUACCUGAGGACACCUGCAGUGAUGCUGGAUCCAGAGUUUCAGAGCUGGGGAGCAGCUACACACUUUUCCCUUGGAGAUUGUGUCAGGGCGCUGGAAGUGGGGGCUGAGGCUGGACUGUUCGAGGUGAGG
Molecule: long non-coding RNA, 241 nt
Organism: Parus major (Great Tit)
Lineage: Eukaryota; Metazoa; Chordata; Aves; Passeriformes; Paridae
Exons: 3
Source: RefSeq, a predicted model, not a curated record